GAAGAGCAACUAUCAGCUGCUAGAUUCCCCGAACUACUAUUAUUAUUCAUACAGUGCAACAUGUUUGUGUUUAUUUAUAUAUUCUUAAUACUAAUAAUAAUUAUGAUUAGGUAAGAGGUAAUAUUGUUAGUUUGUUGUUGAAACAGAAAAUGAUAGGAUGUGUGGUUCAGUUUUGGUAGCUGCAGAGGGAAGAAGAAUACUUCAGAGGAAAGCAAAGUUGGGUCAAUGAUGCACCGUCAUGGUGAGAGGUGAAGUUGCACAAAUAUGCGACUAGGAUAUAAAUCAAACGUAGUUAAGGUUCAACUGCAAAAUGAGUGACUCACUGGGGUAUAUAUAAAGUGGACAAAUUAUAUUUUAAAUUCUAUUUUCACAAUAAUAAAAGAA
Molecule: long non-coding RNA, 384 nt
Filed under: Cicer arietinum (chickpea)
Lineage: Eukaryota; Viridiplantae; Streptophyta; Magnoliopsida; Fabales; Fabaceae
Description: long non-coding RNA (CARI_LNC001547)
Source: RNAcentral